This is a non-coding RNA of Parasteatoda tepidariorum (common house spider), 566 nucleotides long. NCBI's taxonomy places the organism in Eukaryota, Metazoa, Arthropoda, Arachnida, Araneae, Theridiidae. The record is from RefSeq and is a predicted model, not a curated record.
AUAAACACCGGAGUCGCUGAAUGAGUGGACUAGGUAGGCGCCCCUGAGUGGAUGAGCGUGGGUCUUGAGAAAAGUUAAACCGAAGCCUCUAAGUUGAUGACGGAAAAUGAUGAGCUGAGUGCCGCUGUGAUUGAGUCUGUUGGGCUAUCCCGAGGGUACCAAUGCUGAAAGUCGGUGGUCCCACUUGUGCAAGUUGCCUUACUAGAAGGAAGACUGUUGAAGUUUGAGGGAUUGGAAAUUGGAAUGCUGUCUAUCAGAAACUAAGAGUUUGCCUGUUCCUCGAGUCUUGUUGCAAUACCGGUGGGCGUUCCAGGAAUUUGGAAUACUUCAGGCUAAAAUUGGAAGAUGAGUUAAGGAGGACGAGACUCAAUUUUUAAACCUCCAAAAAUGACUGUAUUUAAAAAAAAUUGGUUUUAUAGUUUUCUAUUUCAAAGAUCUGAUAUGCAAAACGUCACGUGACAGAAGAUGAACUCUUUCCGUUGUCUUAAGGGUGUGUUGAUUCUUUCUCCACACAACAGAAUGUACCGGAAAACCACUAAUAUUGCAGCUAAAUGUAGCUUCCUGAC